RNAcentral lists this ribosomal RNA (247 nucleotides) under uncultured bacterium. RNAcentral describes it as "partial 16S ribosomal RNA". It matches the Rfam family "Bacterial small subunit ribosomal RNA", at positions 15 to 291 of the family's 1533-position model. The record is from RNAcentral.
GAUCAUGGCUCAGAGCGAACGCUGGCGGCAGGCCUAACACAUGCAAGUCGAACGGAUCCUUCGGGAUUAGUGGCGGACGGGUGAGUAACACGUGGGAACGUGCCCUUUGGUUCGGAACAACUCAGGGAAACUUGAGCUAAUACCGGAUGUGCCCUUCGGGGAAAGAUUUAUCGCCAUUGGAGCGGCCCGCGUCUGAUUAGCUAGUUGGUGGGGUAAAGGCCCACCAAGGCGACGAUCAGUAGCUGGU